AUCCGGGAUUAUUAAGAACAUGAUUUCAUUCUAUAUUUUCAUGUUCUUAUAAUCUCGAAUCU
RNAcentral lists this microRNA precursor (62 nucleotides) under Branchiostoma lanceolatum (amphioxus). RNAcentral describes it as "Bla-Mir-12494-P5_pre stem-loop". The record is from RNAcentral. Lineage: Eukaryota; Metazoa; Chordata; Leptocardii; Amphioxiformes; Branchiostomatidae.